Molecule: transfer RNA, 62 nt
Filed under: Monolepta hieroglyphica
Lineage: Eukaryota; Metazoa; Arthropoda; Insecta; Coleoptera; Chrysomelidae
Also listed under: 1 other name
Description: tRNA-Asp
Source: RNAcentral
AAAAAUUUAGUUAAUUUAUAACAUCAAUUUGUCAAAUUGAAAUAAUCAUAAGAUAGUUUUUU